UAUUAAAUAUAAAAGAAUGCUAUAUUUUCAUCCUUUUGUUUAUCUAUUCUUUACUUUUCAGAUCACUGAUCACAAAAUUCGCUUUUUCAAUAUACAAGGACUACGGUAUAUCAUAACAGCCUUAAAAGCUGGAAUAACGAUGGGAUGCUGGUGAGUUAGCUUUGACAAUGCAGAAUAGAAAAACACUCGAAUGGAUCUGGAUGCUGGAUGAACUCACUGGAGCACUACUGCCUAUUUUCCCUGUUUCUUCUCACCUGUCUCUUCCAAUGCUAAGCCAUAUGUAUGCAAGCCUCUUCUAAACUCAGCUUUCAUUGGCUGAAAGAUGACAAAGGGAGGAUGUAGAGCAAUUUUGAAAAGCUGCGUAUUUUCUCCAACAAAACUACAUUAACCUGGAAGUGACUAGGUUAUAUUGAAUCUAAAAUGGUGGUGUUAUUCAUCCACUUCGUAUCAGAAAUUGAGGUCCCUGAUGAAAUUAUAGUCAGUACAAAAAUAUAGUUAGAUGGACAAGUUCUAGUAUUUGAUAGUUCAAUAGGAAAAUUAUAGUUAACAACAAUUUCUGUAUAUUUCAAAAUAGCUAGAAGAGAAGAAUUAUAAUGUUCCCAACAACAAAAAAGACAAAUAUUUGAGGUUAUCAAUAUCCCAAUUACUUGGAUUUGAUCAUUACACAGUGUAUACAUGUAUCAAAGUAUUACAUAUGCCCCCACAAGAUGUGUACAACUAUUAUAUGACAAGGAAAAAUUUUAAAAAUAAAGUUAGUAUGGUGGGAAAGAUUUUCUGAAUAUCUGAUGUGGUGGUAGGCUCCA
RNAcentral lists this long non-coding RNA (803 nucleotides) under Rhinopithecus bieti (black snub-nosed monkey). RNAcentral's name for it is "lncRNA (ENSRBIG00000046438.1)". Lineage: Eukaryota; Metazoa; Chordata; Mammalia; Primates; Cercopithecidae. The record is from RNAcentral.